Molecule: long non-coding RNA, 3309 nt
Filed under: Xyrichtys novacula (pearly razorfish)
Lineage: Eukaryota; Metazoa; Chordata; Actinopteri; Labriformes; Labridae
Source: RNAcentral
GCUGCAGAUGAAGCAGAAGAGUAACUCUCAGAUAUAUGUUGUCAAGUGUUGAGAGGUUCCCUCAUGCAUUUAGAAUCACCAUCGAACUACAAAAUUAAAGGAAGUCACCUCCACCUGCCUCUCCAUUUGUAAUUCAAAAACAUGAUCUCGGUGAAACUGAGGAAGUGUUUAUUUGAUAUGUAAAACAUGAUCUGCAGUGAUGUGUCAUUUGGUCAGGCCAUGUAGUGCCUGAGUCAAUAUGAAGUUGAACUGGAGGAUGUCGGUGUAGUGUUAACUUUGGCUCAACUUCAUAUGGACUGUUGUGCUACAUGGUCUGACCAAAUGAUACACUGUAAAGUUUAUGAAGCGAAAUGAAACAUAACCUUUCCAUAUACUUCUUGGCUCACCUUUUUGCCAUUGUCUUCUGUGCCUAGAUCAUGAAAAACUGGUGUAUCAUCAUCAUCAUCAUCAUCAUUAUUAUUGGUGCCUUGCAGCUCACUUCUGUUGUGGGUGUAAAUGUUUUUUUUAUUGGCCUCUGUUUAUUUUUAUAGUAAGUAACUUGUUUGUUUUCCAUUGCCCCCUUUUUUUGUGUGUUGUUAACUUCUGUUGUGGCGUUUUAUCUGCGCUGUUUCCUUUUUCUAUUUGCAGCGGGCUUUUGUUGUUAUUUGUAUUUUUUUUGGGCAUCAGUAACUUCUGUUGUGACUUGUAUCAUUAUUUCAUUUGCAGCAGUGGCGGUUCUCGGCCACCGUACAAGGGCGAAGCAUUGGGCGGACGCCGAGGACUCCACCCUCUGCCGCCUGGGACGUCGUUGAGCUCGGGGCGCGGCUUCCUUCCGGUCGGUGAACUGGAGCCGAGACGUCGCGUCGACGAUAGCGGAAUAACUUGUUAUGCGUUAACUUCACGCCUUUUUGAGAACUUUGUCAUCGUGAGAGAAGAGCGGAUGAAAAGAUGUGAAGAAUUGGGAUUUGGUGUCACUCACGAGGUCAGUAACUAACAAACCCAACAAUUGUAACGCAGGUUCGCGUUAGCCGCGUGGCUAACCGUCAGCCUCGGUCUGAUCAGUGUUUGUGUCUUAGUACUGUGUAGGCGUUGAAGUGAACCCGCAGAAAGAGGUCUGUUUGUUUGUCUGUGAAUUAUCUGUUUAUGUUUUUAAAGGUGUUACAUCACUAUAGUUUUGGUGUAGUUAAGUUUGCUCUGACAGGUGAUUAGUGUCACCUGUCUGUCUGUCUGUCUGUCUGUCUGUCUGUGGAGGGGUGCUGGGCAGAAAGAGUCUACUGAAAUGCAGGGAUGCUGUUGAGUUAGUAAAAUGUCAUUUAAAUGAAAGUAAUCAUCCUAAAAAAAAGACAAUAGUAAGUUGAGUAAAGUGACAGUACUGUGAGUUAUGGUGAUCUGUCACUUGUUCCCCUGUGUUAGUACCUUUUGUCUGAUAGGCUGUUUUUUUUCUCUGUUGAACACAGGAGGUGAACCUGGUGUAUCCUGUGGGGAGCUCCUGGAGUCAGUUUGAGAGUGUUAGUGACUCAGGUAUGGGGUUGGUGAUGUCAAUGUGAAAUGAUAGUAAAGCAAAUAAAGGUUAGGACUGAGUUGUUUGCGUUAUCAACAUGUGAAUGAGUGUGUAUAUGUGUGGUGAGUAUGUGGAUGGAUGGAUGGAUGGAUGGAUGGAUGGAUGGAUGGAUUUUUGUCCUGAAUAAAAUGGAUGAAAGUUUAACUAAUGUGUGUUUAGACGAGAUGACUGUUUGGUCUGCAGGUACCUGUUCAAAAAAUUGUAAAUGAAAUAAAGUUCAAUAAAGUUAAUUAUUAGUGUUGUCAUCAUCAUCAUCAUCAUCAUCAUCAUCAUCAUCAUCAUCAUUGUAAAUCAUCAUUAUCCUCAUGUCAGUAAGGAGGAAAAAGUUAAACAUCUGAAUCUGUCACAUGUUUGUUGAUGGACUCAUGUUGUGGCCAUAUUGAGGUUGGGUCUAUGUAACAAAGAUCUAACAAAGGGUUAGGUCUUGACCUGGUGUUUUGGAGAGUAUCUUGAGGUAGUGGUAGUUGAGAGAUGGUGCUCAAUGGAUAAAAGUUGAUAGAUUGAUUGUAGAAGCCUGUGUCUUCAUAAAGUGUCUUUCGUGAGUGGAUCAGACACAGUAGACUAUGAGCAGCUGAUGAUACUGCAUCUCACUCUAUCGCAGAUAGUGGAAAGUUGACGCUGGAUCUCAAGCACCUUGGAUUGUGGUCCCUUUGUGAUCUUCCUCCAUACUCAGGAAUGUUGAUGUUCAGAUGGGUUGCAGCUCCAAAGAUGGUCUUCUCAAAGCAUGACUUUGGAUGUUUAAGUGAUAUUCCAGUGCUUGUUAGCUGAGGUGAGGUGAGGCUCUUGAUGGUGUUGUCUGUAGUUUGUGAGUGUGUUGAUGGCAGCAACAGUGGUAGUCCAUGUCCUGGACCUGCCUAUGUGUUGAGGCUCUUGAUGCUGUGACUCAGUUCAGUGUCCAUGGUCUCCUUAUCCUCCCUGACUUUUCCCUUUAGUCAUGUGUCCCUGAAGCAGCUUCAUAUGGACUGUGUAACCAGCCAGACCCUGAAACAGUGAUGUUCUUUGGAGGAAUGUCUCCAUGGAGCAUGUCAGUGAUGGUGUUCAGGGUGAUAAUGGAGUCAAGGUCCAAGGUGUGUGUGUGUGUGUGUGUGUGUGUGUGUGUGUGUGUGUGUGUGUGUGUGUGUGUGGGGGGUGGCGGCUCCAGCCAGAAGGGGUCAUCAGAGUCAAUGUGUAAUACAUGUGUAAUAAAGGGUUAGUGCAACACAAAUGGGUACUGAAGAGCAGACAGAGGUGAGGGAAUCAGAGAUUGACUGUCACAGGAUGUGUCACAUGUCUUUUAUUUGGGCUUGGGUCAGACAACCAUGGGUACAGUCAGACAUACACAUCUUAUGGUAAUGACAUACAGAAUGGACAGUACACCAAGAGCCAACAGUGCUGAUGCGUACAAGGCCCACAGCCAAGCCUUUGGGUGUAGUCAUGGGUUAGGAUUCCUGUUGAUUGGCGGGUGGGAUUAAUGGAGGUGGUUCCCACCUUCUGUAGUUUGCCUCAUUGAUGACUAAUGAGUUUCAGAUGUGCAUCAUCACCCUUGGUCAAUGCUGAAUCUGUGGGUGAAGUCAGGGGUUCCCGUUGAUCGAUGUGACCUUCCACUCUUGAUGGGCGGGCUAGAGGGAGAAAACAGGCGAUGCAUUGAUGCGUAAGGAGUUUCACCUGUGUGCCGUUGCCGAAGUGGGCUUCAGCUGUGCGGGUAGGUGCUAUAUGAGUAGACACAGUUGACCCUUGGGCGCCAGCCCGUGUGCGUCGGCCCGUCUGUGCGAAGACCGUACUUGCAAAGA